GUUUNGUUUGUUCAUGGCAUUGUUAAUGAACCAUUCGUUUUCAAGCAUGGACUUGAAGCUAGACACAGAAGCAUUCUUAUCUUCAUCUUUACAUGUCUCGAUUUCACUGUUCCUGGGCCAAGAAAUUUCUUCAUCUUCUUCUCCUCCCUUCCAAACGAUGCCGUUGGACGCCGGUAGCAUUGCCUUUUUCUCUACCAGAGGGACGCAGAACAGCAGACAAUAAAGGGAAGUAGCUUUUUCUGUUUUAUACAGAGUACCACCGAUUUUAAGAGAGAGAGAUUACAAAUUU
RNAcentral lists this long non-coding RNA (289 nucleotides) under Olea europaea subsp. europaea. Lineage: Eukaryota; Viridiplantae; Streptophyta; Magnoliopsida; Lamiales; Oleaceae. The record is from RNAcentral.